This 420-nucleotide ribosomal RNA is filed under the name Chloroflexota bacterium. Its description in RNAcentral is "Chloroflexi bacterium partial 16S ribosomal RNA". It matches the Rfam family "Bacterial small subunit ribosomal RNA", at positions 355 to 776 of the family's 1533-position model. Lineage: Bacteria; Bacillati; Chloroflexota. The record is from RNAcentral.
UGGGGGAUAUUGCACAAUGGGCGAAAGCCUGAUGCAGCGACGCCGCGUGGGGGAUGAAGGCUUUCGGGUUGUAAACCUCUUUCGCUAUCGAACAAGGCCCGCUUAGGGUGGGUUGAGGGUAGGUGGAGAAGAAGCGCCGGCUAACUCCGUGCCAGCAGCCGCGGUAAUACGGAGGGUGCAAGCGUUAAUCGGAAUUACUGGGCGUAAAGCGCACGCAGGCGGUUGAUUGAGUCAGAUGUGAAAUCCCCGGGCUUAACCCGGGAAUUGCAUCUGAUACUGGUCAGCUAGAGUCUUGUAGAGGGGGGUAGAAUUCCAUGUGUAGCGGUGAAAUGCGUAGAGAUGUGGAGGAAUACCGGUGGCGAAGGCGGCCCCCUGGACAAAGACUGACGCUCAGGUGCGAAAGCGGGGGGAGCAAACAGG